CACUGAUGGACCUAUCCUCCAUGAACUUAUCUCGUUCUUUUUUGAACCCCGUUAUAGUUUUGGCCUUCACAACAUCCUCUGGCAAGAGGUUCCACAGAUUGACUCUGCAUUGUGUGAAAAAAUAUCUCCUUCUGCCUGUUUUAAAUGUGCUUCCCUUUUAAAUGGAAAUGAUGCCCUUGGUUAGUUUUGAUACCUGUUUGAAGGGAAAUCUCAUGGGUGUUCUUACUUGAUUUUCGUUUAUUUAUUCCACCCCACUUUCAUCCUUGAAACCAAUGGCAGGAAUCAUUCCUGGGGUAAAGUAUU
This is a long non-coding RNA of Chelonia mydas (Green sea turtle), 303 nucleotides long. RefSeq lists it as uncharacterized. Lineage: Eukaryota; Metazoa; Chordata; Testudines; Cheloniidae. The transcript is spliced from 4 exons. The record is from RefSeq and is a predicted model, not a curated record.